AAGGCAGGUCUUCCCAGAGGAAGACCACAGAGGUCCAUGACAGGCUGCCUCCCGGGAGGUUAUGGAAACAGAGGCUGUGGGCAGGCCAACUGAAGAGGCGUUUCGGCGACGGUUUGCCCUGGGUGGAGGACUUCAUCAACAAGGUUCCUUCAUCUUUUUUGUGGUUUGGAUCUUCGAGCCUGGCUUGAAAGAAGAGGGAGCAGGCAUUAGGGGAAAUGCUCAGCCCUCCGCCCACAGGAUGGCUUCCUUCUCUCCACGCAGGUGUCAGCCUUCUGCCCCAGGAACAGACUGGACUGUUGGAGAGCGGCGGAAUCUGCAUUGGAACCCAGACCAUCUGGCUCCCCAGUCUCCUUUGUGAUCCAUGAUGAAUGCUCCAUCCCUG
Molecule: long non-coding RNA, 382 nt
Organism: Mustela lutreola (European mink)
Lineage: Eukaryota; Metazoa; Chordata; Mammalia; Carnivora; Mustelidae
Exons: 3
Source: RefSeq, a predicted model, not a curated record